CUCAGGAUGAACGCUGGCGGCGUGCCUAAUACAUGCAAGUCGAGCGAAUGGAUUAAGAGCUUGCUCUUAUGAAGUUAGCGGCGGACGGGUGAGUAACACGUGGGUAACCUGCCCAUAAGACUGGGAUAACUCCGGGAAACCGGGGCUAAUACCGGAUAACAUUUUGAACUGCAUGGUUCGAAAUUGAAAGGCGGCUUCGGCUGUCACUUAUGGAUGGACCCGCGUCGCAUUAGCUAGUUGGUGAGGUAACGGCUCACCAAGGCAACGAUGCGUAGCCGACCUGAGAGGGUGAUCGGCCACACUGGGACUGAGACACGGCCCAGACUCCUACGGGAGGCAGCAGUAGGGAAUCUUCCGCAAUGGACGAAAGUCUGACGGAGCAACGCCGCGUGAGUGAUGAAGGCUUUCGGGUCGUAAAACUCUGUUGUUAGGGAAGAACAAGUGCUAGUUGAAUAAGCUGGCACCUUGACGGUACCUAACCAGAAAGCCACGGCUAACUACGUGCCAGCAGCCGCGGUAAUACGUAGGUGGCAAGCGUUAUCCGGAAUUAUUGGGCGUAAAGCGCGCGCAGGUGGUUUCUUAAGUCUGAUGUGAAAGCCCACGGGCUCAACCGUGGAGGGUCAUUGGAAACUGGGAGACUUGAGUGCAGAAGAGGAAAGUGGAAUUCCAUGUGUAGCGGUGAAAUGCGUAGAGAUAUGGAGGAACACCAGUGGCGAAGGCGACUUUCUGGGUCUGUAACUGACACUGAGGCGCGAAAGCGUGGGGAGCA
This 769-nucleotide ribosomal RNA is filed under the name Bacillus sp. ZB(2010). Its description in RNAcentral is "bacterial SSU rRNA". It matches the Rfam family "Bacterial small subunit ribosomal RNA", at positions 23 to 770 of the family's 1533-position model. The record is from RNAcentral. Lineage: Bacteria; Bacillati; Bacillota; Bacilli; Caryophanales; Bacillaceae.